Lotus japonicus is the source of this 3548-nucleotide RNA transcript. RefSeq lists it as uncharacterized. The record is from RefSeq and is a predicted model, not a curated record. Lineage: Eukaryota; Viridiplantae; Streptophyta; Magnoliopsida; Fabales; Fabaceae. The transcript has 8 exons.
CCAUGUUUUGGUUUCUCCUUUUUCAUCCGUUUUCAUUCUUCCAGGGCUUUUAAUCUCCCUUUCAUGUCUUCCGUUCCAUCUUCACUCUCUUUGCCUCUCUCCCUCUUCUGUUUCUUUGUUUGCGAUGUUGAGGCCAGGGAUUCCUCUCCCCAUUACAUCGCAAGGCCCUCUCUUUAACCCCCAAAGUUGUGGCUGUCGUUUUUUUCCGCAGCGGCAUCGGCAUCGGCGACGAGGUGAAGACCCUGAGGGGCGGGCUCCGGCGGCGUGCGAGGUAGGGGAGAUAGGUGGAUGGCGAACUGAGGAAUCUGUCCCGUCCAUUAGGAACUGCGGAAUCGACUGCGAGAUUCGCACAGCAGGUCAUAAAAAUCUUCUUCUCCUCUAUUUUAUCCCUAUUUGUGUAUCUGCUCUUCUUACUCUGCUCUGGGUUGAAGCCUUGGUUUAAAUCGCGGCCCUUUGCGGCUUCACAUUAUUUUCUUCUUGGCAGAUUUGCGGCUUCACUAAUCUGUGGUAAGGGUUUCUUCUCGAAUUUACUGUCCUCAGAUUCUUUAUUUGUUUUUUUUUCUCUGUUCUGAAUCUGUUAGCUACCCCUCUAGACUAUGUUUUGUUUGCUUUAUCUAUUUAUUUUACAAAUUGAGUGUCAGAAAGGUUGAAAGACAGGCUAGCGGAGUUUUCAAAAUGUGAGUAUGAGCUGUUUGAUGAAUUGACCAGUUCAAUCAGAGGAGAAGAGCAUUGGAUGGCAUAGAGAUGAUAACACACCCUACCUCAAACAACAUCACCUUUCAGUGAGGUUUAUUCAACCUUUUUUACGUAUUGAUAUCCUGUUAUAAUUUGCACUCUUGCUGAUAGACAACUUUUACCUUCAAUUGGUAAAAACAUUGAAGGCUCAUGUAGUCAAGGUGUUAUAAUUUUACUCUUGUUUGAAUGGGAACAAGGUCAGCGAACUUUCUUAUCUUCCUCUCUUACAGUUUGAAACUUUUUCUGCUUUUGUUUCAUGUACUAUUUUAGUUUGUCUUCUUCAUUUUUCUGCUUAAUUGAUCAAUGAGUUAUUAUUAUCAUCAUUGUCAUAGUUGCUAAGUGGUUUUGUAAUCUAUGUAUGAGCUUUUGGAUUUCAAAGUUUUGGGUGAUUUGUGUUUGUUUCUUUUGAUAUUUUAUUGGUUUCUUUGAGAAAAACUAAGGAGAACAAUCAGAAUUCUUCUCUCUGGCCAGGGUAAAUUCGAGGCUCAUAAUCUACUACAUCUUAAAAGAGAGUCAUGAAUUCACUAUUCAUAAGAGAAGUUUUCAUCUGGACCGUCCAUUUAUUUACUCAUGUUUUGCUAUUUCAAUCUUGGCCAUUCAUGUUUUGCUAUUCCACUGGUUUCUUAUUUCCCCUUUUUCCCCCAAUUCUUCCUCUCCAUGACCUCAGUGCUGGCGUUGUGGAAGGAGAAGUCGCGUGCAGACUCACUACGUUGGAUCAGUUCAUUCAAUCAGACUCACUAGGUGUAUGAGUGGUUGGAUAUUGCAGAAGUGAGAAGAUGAUGAAGUUUCAAGGAAGGAGGGUAGAGUAGUUUUCUUAAGGGGAAAGAACAAAUUUUGGGUUUUACUGUUUUCAUGGAUCACGAUUGAUGAAAAAUCCCGUCACCGUGACAUCUCCUUCUUCGUGCCAGCCUGUGUUCUGAGUUCUGACAGCCGACGUCUGCACAGUGCACAUGAGGAUGGUAGAUUGAGUUAGGUUGGAAUUUGAUGGAGAUUUGACAUUGGAUAAAGGAGAAAGCAAGGAGAAGGAGAAGAGAUGAUGAUGAUGGAAAAUACGAAAUUUCGUCACCAUGGAUUGUUAGGUCAGAAGCACAACAGAAGGAGAAGAGAAGACGGUGGAAGGAAAAGGAAGCUAUGAUGGCUGGCAGGAUAGAUCAUCAUUGAGAACGAGUGUUGUCAGGUGUGGGAGCUUUCCCUGAUGUCAGGUCAGUACAAGGGGUUGGUAUUUCCAGCCUGUUUGUUUGUUCCAUUCAAUUGUCACUGGUUUUCCCUUUCCAAUUGUCUAUAAAUACUGCCUUAGUUUGUUGGAUAUGCGUCCCUGCUUUUCAUUCUUCCUGUUGCUAUUUCUCUACAUAUCUGAGAAUUGGUCUUUCCACCAAUCUUACUGAUGGCGUUUACGGCUGUAAUAUCACCUUCAACUCCUCAUUUGGGUUUUUUGUUGAUAGGUUUAGCCUUGCUAUUGUUUAUUUUUGAGUUAUUCACUGUUGUGUGUCCGUCCUUCUUUCUAAAUUCCAGAUCUGAGUGCAUUCCCAAGGAGCAAAUCGUGGGUGAGCAAUCCUUGGGUCAGUAAGAAAUCUAAAUCGAUUUAAAUGAUACUGAUUUUCUUUGAUUUUUUCUUACUUUUGAUUCAUCUUCCAUAUAUUUAUCUUCUGUGUGUUUCUUCAAAUCAAGUUGGCUAUAAAUAUUCCCACAACCCUCCUCGAUUUUUAAACCUUCAUAUUCUUCAUGUUCAGUUUCCAUGUUUGCUUGUAUGAGUAAUAAGGUUCACGAGUUAAUGAUUUGAGCUCUAAUUCUUUUACUUCUGCAUAAAUUAGCAGGUAUCAGAAACUUAUAAUGUAGCUUCUCAACCUCAUAAAAUUAUUUUUGCAGGAAUCACAACAUUGAAAACUCACUUAGCUGCUAUCGAGAAGCUUUUGAUGUUGUUAUAUUGUAUAUAACGGACUUUGUAAGGAAGCACUCCAACAAAAUCCUGUACCUGUUUAGUGUUUUCCUGCACUGCAGUUCAGCUAUGAAUAGUGCAGAGAAUGAUGCACCCAUGUGGGGAGUUAUCAAUCUGGCCUCUCUUCUGUGUUCAAGUGGGAGACUAAUUGUUUUCAGACGUAAUGUGCAGAUGCAGGGCUUUGGUCAUAGAAGGCUUUGAGAUUUUAUUAUAGGUGUUAUUAUAGAUCUCCUUUCACAUGAGAAACAAACGAUGAUCAUAAAAAUGAAAUGAUGAAGGUUUAUUUCUAUUUCACAACUACCUGUUUGAAUUUUGGGCUGCUUGAAUUUUGGACAGAACUUUGAUUCAAGGGUGUCAUCCUUCUUUGAUAUAUAAACCAAAUGGUGGAGAGACUGGCUGAAUCAAGUGACUGCAGUGAGUACUGAAUGCAGUGAAUCCAGAUCCCGGAUGGAUGAGAUAAAGUUUAUCUUUUAUCAGGACUUGUGUUCAUACACCAUUGCCCAAACUCUUUAUUUUCCAUAUGUUAAAAUCUGAACCAUGUCUUGGACUAUUCCUCUUCUCAUCAACCAUGUGUAUUUUUACUGUGGACGAGCCCUAUGUUUUAUCAAGUGCUGAUUCUUUAUUACACAUGAGGUUCUAGAUGGUGACAUAUGCACAAUAAGAGAUGUUUAAACGGAUGAAUCGGCCAAAAUCUAGAUUAACCCUUUAUGCUCAUCUGCAUUGUUUAAAAUGUCAUUGUUCAUGGAUUUUUAUUUUCUCUUUGAAAUAGCAUUCAACCAUUCACCAUUGUAAAAGAUGCAUAUGCCUUGCUCCUUUAUGCUAUUUAGUAUCUAUUUGUACUUAUAUUAAGUAUCUAUUUAUGGUGGGUUGCCCAAAA